GUACACUCCUGCGGGAGGCAGCAGUGGGGAAUAUUGGACAAUGGGCGCAAGCCUGAUCCAGCCAUGCCGCGUGAGUGAUGAAGGCCCUAGGGUUGUAAAGCUCUUUCACCGGUGAAGAUAAUGACGGUAACCGGAGAAGAAGCCCCGGCUAACUUCGUGCCAGCAGCCGCGGUAAUACGAAGGGGGCUAGCGUUGUUCGGAUUUACUGGGCGUAAAGCGCACGUAGGCGGACUAUUAAGUCAGGGGUGAAAUCCCGGGGCUCAACCCCGGAACUGCCUUUGAUACUGGUAGUCUUGAGUUCGAGAGAGGUGAGUGGAAUUCCGGGUGUAGAGGUGAAAUUCGUAGAUAUUCGGAGGAACACCAGUGGCGAAGGCGGCUCACUGGCUCGAUACUGACGCUGAGGUGCGAAAGCGUGGGGAGCAAACAGGAUUAGAAACCCUGGUAGUCCCAUGA
Molecule: ribosomal RNA, 453 nt
Filed under: uncultured organism
Description: partial 16S ribosomal RNA
Rfam family: Bacterial small subunit ribosomal RNA
Source: RNAcentral